UACGUAGGAUGCGAGCGUUGUCCGGAAUUAUUGGGCGUAAAGAGAACGUAGGUGGUUUCUUAAGUUUGGGCUUAAAGACUGGAGCUUAACUCCAGGACUGGCUCGAAAACUGGGAGACUAGAGGAUGUCAGAGGAAAGUGGAAUUCCGAGUGUAGCGGUGAAAUGCGUAGAUAUUCGGAGGAACACCAGUGGCGAAAGCGACUUUCUGGGACAUUCCUGACACUGAGGUUCGAAAGCUCGGGGAGCAAACAGG
RNAcentral lists this ribosomal RNA (253 nucleotides) under uncultured bacterium. RNAcentral's name for it is "partial 16S ribosomal RNA". It matches the Rfam family "Bacterial small subunit ribosomal RNA", at positions 524 to 776 of the family's 1533-position model. The record is from RNAcentral.